AUGUGCUCAGCAAACAGGAAGGCUUCGUUUCCCUGCCUGCUGUCUGCAUUUGUGAACCCCCUGAUCGAUUCAAGUAUCUUCACUGCAGACGUUGGUGAAACUUGUCACGUGUUUGCUGUGUGCGGACGUGGUCCUGGACCCCAGGUCUCCAGAUGUAGAUGUGGAUACUCUAAUGGCUUGCAGAAGUUUUCCAUUGUUCCUGAAGUAGCCCUAACCACAACAUUUCAAGUAUGACCUUUGUUGGGUAAAUUUUCAAAUCUUCCAGUUAGAAAUUGGAACAGGGUUCUGGGAUGACUUCCCAGGUUUUGCAGGAAAAUCACUUUAAUUACCAACAACUCCUUGCUGCUGUGAACUCCACUGAUACCAUCAAACGGCAAGUCUUCUUGACUGAUUUGCAGUGGUUUAAAAAUAAAGACCGGCCUGAACUUCA
This 430-nucleotide long non-coding RNA is filed under the name Vulpes vulpes (red fox). RNAcentral's name for it is "lncRNA (ENSVVUG00000023948.1)". The record is from RNAcentral. Lineage: Eukaryota; Metazoa; Chordata; Mammalia; Carnivora; Canidae.